Molecule: ribosomal RNA, 580 nt
Filed under: uncultured marine eukaryote
Lineage: Eukaryota
Description: SSU rRNA
Rfam family: Eukaryotic small subunit ribosomal RNA
Source: RNAcentral
UUGUGGUAAAAAGCUCGUAGUUGGAUCUCAACAGCCUUGAAGCGGUUAACUUUGUAGUUCUACUGCUUUAUAGGCUGUGCUUUUGCUGGAGGUUUAGGGGUGCUCUUGAUCGAGUGUCUCUGGAUGCCAGCAGGUUUACUUUGAAAAAAUUAGAGUGCUCAAAGCAGGCUAAAAUGCCUGAAUAUUCGUGCAUGGAAUAAUAGAAUAGGAUGUCGAUCCUAUUUUGUUGGUUUUCGGGACUCGACAUAAUGAUAAAUAGGGACAGUCGGGGGCAUUUGUAUUCAAACGACAGAGGUGAAAUUCUUGGACCGUUUGAAGACAAACUACUGCGAAAGCAUUUGCCAAGAAUGUUUUCAUUAAUCAAGAACGAAAGUUAGAGGUUCGAAGGCGAUUAGAUACCGCCCUAGUUCUAACCAUAAACGAUGCCAGCUAGCGAUCUGCCUGCGUUUUUACUGUAGACUGGGCAGGAAGCUUCCGGGAAACCAAAGCAUUUGGGUUCCAGGGGAAGUAUGGUUGCAAAGCUGAAACUUAAAGGAAUUGACGGAAGGGCACCACCAGGAGUGGAGCCUGUGGCUUAAUU